UGAGCAAUCUGCCCUUCUCUCUGGGACAACCCCGGGAAACCGGAGCUAAUACCGGAUACUCCGGCUGGAUCGCAUGGUCCGGCCGGGAAAGGUCCGCCGGAGAGGGAUGGGCCCGCGGCCUAUCAGCUUGUUGGUGAGGUAAUGGCUCACCAAGGCGACGACGGGUAGCCGGCCUGAGAGGGUGACCGGCCACACGUGGGACUGAGACACGGCCCAGACCUCCGUACGGGAGGCA
Molecule: ribosomal RNA, 235 nt
Filed under: uncultured bacterium
Lineage: Bacteria
Description: partial 16S ribosomal RNA
Rfam family: Bacterial small subunit ribosomal RNA
Source: RNAcentral